Molecule: long non-coding RNA, 636 nt
Organism: Lolium rigidum
Lineage: Eukaryota; Viridiplantae; Streptophyta; Magnoliopsida; Poales; Poaceae
Exons: 3
Source: RefSeq, a predicted model, not a curated record
GGAACGUCGUCACUUUCACCGAUUCCGUCUCCGGUUGCCGGCGUUCUUCUUCGAAUUCCGGCUGGUCCUCGCCGCCGGCAGUACUCCGGCAAGCUUCCGGCACCAACUCCACCAGAUCCUGGUCGCCCGCGUCAAGGCGCACCUCCGACACCAUCGCCCUCGCCUUGAUUCGGUCCAAAUCGACCUAUCCAUCUCCGACCUGAUCCUCUGCCAUUGAUGCUGUGGGCAAGCUCGUCCCCGCCUUCCGUCUAUUCUUCUUUGCGUGUACCACUCACUCGACAAGAACUGCAGCAUAGCCCAGUGGUGGGGCCCGUUUGUCAGCGACCAACAGAUCCACCUCAUCGCCCGACAUCCCAGUCAGCGCCUUGUCACCUCCCUGGCCCGCUCGUCAGUCCCUGUGGCUGGGUGCUGCUCGGUGAGAAAAGCUUCUGGCCAUUUCUCUGUCUUUUCUGAAAAAUCCAGAAAAUGUUUGAAACUUGCCAUAUUCAUAUCUUCUAAACCAUAACUCGGAUUAAAAUGUAUUUUAUAUGUUUUUCGAUCAGAAAAAUGCAAGGAUCAUUAAUAUGCCAUCCAUAUGCCUGUUUGCAUCUCGCAUCAUGUCACGCGUUGAUAGUCGUGCAUUUUCACCUCACAUAU